RNAcentral lists this ribosomal RNA (280 nucleotides) under uncultured bacterium. RNAcentral describes it as "partial 16S ribosomal RNA". It matches the Rfam family "Bacterial small subunit ribosomal RNA", at positions 335 to 612 of the family's 1533-position model. The record is from RNAcentral.
UUUCCUACGGGGCGCAGCAGUGAGGAAUAUUGGUCAAUGGCCGAGAGGCUGAACCAGCCAAGUCGCGUGAGGGAAGAAUGUCCUAUGGAUUGUAAACCUCUUUUGUCAGGGAGCAAAGUCACCCACGUGAGGGUGUUGGAGAGUACCUGAAGAAAAAGCAUCGGCUAACUCCGUGCCAGCAGCCGCGGCAAUACGGAGGAUGCGAGCGUUAUCCGGAUUUAUUGGGUUUAAAGGAUGCGUAGGCGGGGUAUCAAGUCAGCGGUAAAUUCGGGGAGCUCCA